AGCGGGGUGGGGGGGUCCCUCAGCACAGAUUGUGAGAGGGUGCAGGCCAGGCUGAGGGACCCCGCUGGUGCAUG
This 74-nucleotide microRNA precursor is filed under the name Myotis brandtii (Brandt's bat). RNAcentral's name for it is "mir-9193 microRNA precursor family". It matches the Rfam family "mir-9193 microRNA precursor family". Lineage: Eukaryota; Metazoa; Chordata; Mammalia; Chiroptera; Vespertilionidae. The record is from Rfam by way of RNAcentral.